RNAcentral lists this ribosomal RNA (250 nucleotides) under uncultured bacterium. RNAcentral describes it as "partial 16S ribosomal RNA". It matches the Rfam family "Bacterial small subunit ribosomal RNA", at positions 355 to 622 of the family's 1533-position model. The record is from RNAcentral.
UGGGGAAUAUUGGACAAUGGGGGCAACCCUGAUCCAGCCAUGCCGCGUGAGUGAAGAAGGCCUUAGGGUUGUAAAGCUCUUUCACCCGUGACGAUGAUGACGGUAGCGGGAGAAGAAGCCCCGGCUAAUUCCGUGCCAGCAGCCGCGGUAAUACGGAAGGGGCUAGCGUUGUUCGGAAUUACUGGGCGUAAAGCGCGCGUAGGCGGCCAUGCAAGUGAGGCGUGAAAGGCCUGGGCUCAACCUGGGAACU